GUUUCUGUAGUGUAGUGGUUAUCACGUUUGUCUAAGCUGCAAACGGUCUCUGGCUCAAAACCAGGCAGAAACA
This is a non-coding RNA of Chelonoidis abingdonii (Abingdon island giant tortoise), 73 nucleotides long. Lineage: Eukaryota; Metazoa; Chordata; Testudines; Testudinidae. The record is from the annotation of a RefSeq genome assembly.